This is a non-coding RNA of Cyanistes caeruleus (blue tit), 228 nucleotides long. The record is from RefSeq and is a predicted model, not a curated record. NCBI's taxonomy places the organism in Eukaryota, Metazoa, Chordata, Aves, Passeriformes, Paridae.
UCAGGAGUUAUCAAGCGAGCAAUGGCUUGCCAUUGUUAAUAAGUUUUGUAGUGUCAGUUCUAACUCCUCCCACAAUGAUAGUCCUCUAUCACCAUUGCCUCAAGUACAUGGACAUUGAUGUGAAGAUUUUGAUGGAAUGUAAUAUGUUUCUGUAUGAACCUUUCUGAUCAUUCACACUCUAUUCAUCAGCUGCUGUCUGCAAAGAAGUGAACAUUUGGGCAAUUGAUC